UAAUACGGAGGGUGCAAGCGUUAUCCGGAUUCACUGGGUUUAAAGGGUGCGUAGGAGGGCAGGUAAGUCAGUGGUGAAAUCUCCAAGCUUAACUUGGAAACUGCCGUUGAUACUAUCUGUCUUGAAUAUUGUGGAGGUGAGCGGAAUAUGUCAUGUAGCGGUGAAAUGCUUAGAUAUGACAUAGAACACCAAUUGCGAAGGCAGCUCACUACUCAAUUAUUGACUCUGAGGCACGAAAGCGUGGGGAUCAAACAGGAUUAGAUACCCUGGUAGUCCACGCCCUAAACUAUGGAUACUCGACAUACGCGAUAUACAGUGUGUGUCUGAGCGAAAGCAUUAAGUAUCCCACCUGGGAAGUACGACCGCAAGGUUG
RNAcentral lists this ribosomal RNA (373 nucleotides) under uncultured bacterium. RNAcentral's name for it is "bacterial SSU rRNA". It matches the Rfam family "Bacterial small subunit ribosomal RNA", at positions 521 to 896 of the family's 1533-position model. The record is from RNAcentral.